Molecule: unclassified non-coding RNA, 319 nt
Filed under: Zea mays
Lineage: Eukaryota; Viridiplantae; Streptophyta; Magnoliopsida; Poales; Poaceae
Description: misc RNA Zm00001eb216270
Source: RNAcentral
UUCUCACGAAUGUGGUCAGACCCUGGCCACAAUAGUACAUGUAAACAUCCCACCAAUGUUUAUACCAAAUACUAACAAGUCCUUUGACUUUACUAUAGGUUGGAUUCAUGACCACCAACUCAAUAGAAGGGCGAGAGAGCUCACAGUCAGAACACAAGUGAUUGGCCCCAUUUAUAUACCACAUGUUAACAGAAUUUAUCCAUCUAACAUAACAAUACAAGAGGUUGCUGACAUGUUUACUGUUGUGUGUAUAGAAAUGAUAGCCACAACCCACAAGGCCACAAGCCAUAUAUUACCAGUGCCAAAGCUUUCUUCACCA